Lucilia sericata (common green bottle fly) is the source of this 1266-nucleotide long non-coding RNA. RefSeq lists it as uncharacterized. The record is from RefSeq and is a predicted model, not a curated record. Lineage: Eukaryota; Metazoa; Arthropoda; Insecta; Diptera; Calliphoridae. The transcript is spliced from 3 exons.
UUUUGACAUUUGCACUUGUGUUUUCCCUCCAUAUUGCAAAAAUAUAUUUGGAAAUAAAUAAAAAAAUUAAUUUAUUAAAUGAAAAAAAAUUGACAAACAAACCAAAAGAUCAGUGAAUUGGGAACAAAAAGAAAAGGAUCUACUAUCUAACCUUGUAUUGGACAAGUUGGAAAUAAUUGAAAAUGCUAGUAUCGAUACCAACACAAAUACAAUUAAAGGAGAAGCUUGGAAUAGUGUGCACAAUUUAUUUAAUAAAGUGUCUAAAAACAAUAGAUCCAUUUAACAGAUUCAAAAUCAGUGGAGGAAAACGAAGUCUCUAGCAAUGACAAAAAAUUCUGCCUAUCUCCGACAAACAAAACAGGCUGGUGGUGGCCCAGCUCCUGAACCUUUAAAUGGCGUUAAGGAAGAGCUAAUUUGUCGAUUGCUUAAACAUUUUGGAAUUUACAAAAACAUAUAUGAUAGUGGAAAUCAAUUGCAGUAACGAAAUUUUGGAUUGCGAAAAAAUAAAUUUGGAAAACAUAAAGCAAAAAAAAACAACAAAUGCGAAAAGUUCGUUGAGAAUUCCAAAAGAAUAAAAUUAUUUGAUAUCAGUAUAAAACAAAAAGAAUUGGAAAUGAAAUUUAUUGAAGAAAUUUUAUGCAAAAAAAGAAGAAUGAAAUAAUAAAUUUACAAUUAAUUGAGGAACAUGGACUGAAGGUGGAAAAAUGUAAACUAGAAAUUGAAAAAUUAAAGAAAUUUCAAUAUCGAAAUGAAAUUUCAGACAAUUUUUAAAAGUUUCAGCCAAUUAUUAAAAGAUGCCAAAUUUUUUCAGAUGCCAGUCACUACAUUUUAAUUUUGUUUUUUUAAUUAAAGCACAUGCCAAAAAAAUGUUUAAUCCAGAGAUCAAAGUAUACUUUUCUAAAGGAUUGAGCUGCGCCGAAUCUGGAAUCUGUGAUGUAGAAAUCACAUCAAGUUUUCGAUAUAACAUUUUAAUAAAAACAUUUUUGGGUCAUAGGUAAGACGUUAUAACAUCGCAGACCCCUUUAUUUAUAAAAUGUGUUUUCACCUGUAACAAAACGUUAUCUUAAAAUAAAUUUUAUUUGUUAUAAAUAUUUUAAACUUUAAUAUCGAAAACUUCAUUUGAUGUAAAAAGUCAGAGUCCUGAUUAAGAGCCGCUUAAUCAAUCUUUAGAAAAGUAUACUUGAUUUCUACGUUGAAUAUUUUUUGUGAUUUUAUUGAUCUUUUUUUUAUAUAAUGAAUUUUUAUAUAAUGAAUAUUCGAAUUAAG